Molecule: ribosomal RNA, 618 nt
Filed under: uncultured Acidobacteriota bacterium
Lineage: Bacteria; Pseudomonadati; Acidobacteriota
Description: bacterial SSU rRNA
Rfam family: Bacterial small subunit ribosomal RNA
Source: RNAcentral
AGAGUUUGAUCCUGGCUCAGAAUCAACGCUGGCGGCGCGCUUAACACAUGCAAGUCGAACGAGAAAGGGGAGCAAUCCCUGAGUACAGUGGCGUACGGGUGAGUAACACGUGGAUGACCUGCCCUCUGGUGGGGAAUAACCCUGGGAAACCGGGGCUAAUACCGCAUAAGUCCGGGAGGAGAAAGCCGAAAGGCGCCGGAGGAGGGGUCCGCGGCCGAUUAGCUAGUUGGUAGGGUAACGGCCUACCAAGGCGAAGAUCGGUAGCCGGCCUGAGAGGGCACACGGCCACACUGGCACUGAAAUACGGGCCAGACUCCUACGGGAGGCAGCAGUGGGGAAUCUUGCACAAUGGGGGAAACCCUGAUGCAGCGACGCCGCGUGAGCGAUGAAGCCCUUCGGGGUGUAAAGCUCUUUCGGCGGGAACGAAGAAAGACGGUACCCGCAGAAGAAGCUGCGGCUAACUACGUGCCAGCAGCCGCGGUAAUACGUAGGCAGCAAGCGUUGUUCGGAGUUACUGGGCGUAAAGAGUAUGUAGGCGGUUCUGUAAGUUUGGUGUGAAAUCUCCCGGCUCAACUGGGAGGGAGCGCCGAAAACUGCAGGGCUGGAGUGCGGGAGAGG